CGGGAACUUCAGCCGGCGCUUAUAAGCAUCGGUAAAGAUUAUAAAAAGCGUCAGAAAAGAUGAAUUUUCUUGUAGUGACAUAACUCUGGCUCAAUUAAACCGGCAUGUGGAGGAUGCAGUUGCAAGUUUUCUUGAAGGAAGGGCUACACUGAGAAUGAGUCCAUCAUAGUUAUGGGUGCAAAUUGAUAGGAUUGAAUUAGGUCAUAAAUCGACCCAACCCAGUUCUUUAUUCAGAUCCUAAUGUUAGACCCAAAACUAA
RNAcentral lists this long non-coding RNA (259 nucleotides) under Phoenix dactylifera (date palm). RNAcentral's name for it is "long non-coding RNA (PDAC_LNC005981)". Lineage: Eukaryota; Viridiplantae; Streptophyta; Magnoliopsida; Arecales; Arecaceae. The record is from RNAcentral.